Molecule: long non-coding RNA, 1798 nt
Organism: Rhinichthys klamathensis goyatoka
Lineage: Eukaryota; Metazoa; Chordata; Actinopteri; Cypriniformes; Leuciscidae
Exons: 3
Source: RefSeq, a predicted model, not a curated record
UCCUCACCUACACUGCCCAUCCGCAUCGCCCACUUACUGAGUGGGCCUAUGGCUCUCGCUGUUCCAGUAUGAGAAACCUUUGCAAACCCACGUGCAUGCAAAUACGCAUGCACAAACACUCCAUUUUCAGACUGCUUAUUUGCACAGUCAGCUAAUGUUUGCUUUCUUAUUCAAAUGAUAUACAAGGGAUUGCCUGGACAAAUAUGAAAAUACGAGAUACAAGAGGAAGAGGUAUUAAUGUUGAAUGAGGUUGUUUUGGUCUGUGUGAACUCUGUAUUUACCACUGACUUACAGUUGCAGUCUGCAACCUCAGAGACGUAGAGAAGAGCGUGUGCAUGGAUUAUGGCCCUUAAAUAUAACUUGCAUCAACAGUGCAUUGAACUCUAUAGUGGCAAGUUACUGUGUUACCCUGCCCUGGUGCUGCAGUGCACACAUGGUCAAGCAGUCUAACAGUUCAAGUGUCGUCUUUUGCCCCAUUUACUGACCUUUCAAAGGGCAGCAAGUGAUUACCCAACAUCUCACAUGUUAUAUCAUCCAUGCCUUCAUGAAAAUCAAAACAAGAGAGACUGAUCCCAUGCGUACAACAUCAUAAAAGCCGGCAUUUCAAUCAUGACACUGAGAAAAUAUUAAUCUAAUUAUUGGUGCAAAUAGUAAAAUGCUCUUCUAUGAAGAUCUGUAAGGUUUUUCAUAUGGAGGUUAAAACACCGUGAUACUUGUGCUGAGAGGUACGUAAGUCUUUGGAAGUUGAAGUUCAACCUUUUAAAAUGAUUAUUUUGCUAUAUAUAUAUAUAUAUUCGCUGCCUCUCACCUCUUUCCAUUCCACCUGUGCUGAGAAUCUGGAGUCUGCAGGAACCUUGGGCACAUGGCCGGGUCAACACUUUGCAAUAUUACAGACUCAAUGUGUUCCCAGAGUGCAGCUCCGAUAACUGCUGUAUAUCGUAGAUAUGUCUGCAUGAGCCUGUUUAAAGGAUUAGAUGUCCUCAUGCAACAGAACUGAGAGAAUCUUUCAAAGGAGAGAGAGUGUUUGGGCGUCUUUGUCCACAGUUCUGCACAUGAAGCGCAUAUGCAAAUUCACUGCUCAAGGGAAAUUUUCUUCCUCAAGAAGUCACCAAAGUUCAUUCCAAAAGAUAAGUAUUUGCAUUAAAAUGUGGGAUUGAAAUUUGCAUAGAGAAUAUUUGGGAGUUUAGAAGUACACACAGGGAAAUUUUGUUGUCUUAAUGGCUAAUAUAUUUACAAAUUCAUUUCUAAAAAUUUUACUACAAUGUAAAGUCAUAUUUACAGCAACACCUUUAUAUCCUGAAUUAUGUUUUUACCUAUUUGAUUCAUCCACAUAUUUGGUGAAUGCAGCAUAACACAUGAUAUCUCUGUCCAUUUAAAAUCCUGCUGGGAAUUGCAUGUACCAGCAUGUUCUCUAGCCUCUUUUCUCACACUUUUGUGGAAGUACACUUUCACACAGUACAUUUUUUUUUCCCUCUCCAUUGGGAACAAAUCUUUCCCUGAAUCCCAGCAUUCUCUUUAUAGGUGGGGACAUGUAGUUUCUGCCUGCAGGCUAGAGUUCUUCAUCAACCUGAGCUGUUUCUUUCUCUGCCAGGCCUGCUUGACCCGUUUCUCCUGCUGCAGUCCCGGAGGAACUGGUUCUGGUUCCUGAGCACCAGUCUUACAGUGAGGAGCUGGGGAUGUCUUCCCUUGGACCAGCUUCAUUGUCACCUAAGCCAGAUUCCUGCUCUUCAGCCCUGGAUUUCAACAUCUGAUGUAUCAUCCACAGCACCUAUUUAUGACGUUAGUCACAGUGUGACCC